UACGGGGGGGGCAAGCGUUGCUCGGAAUUACUGGGCGUAAAGCGCACGUAGGCGGCUCUUUAAGUCGGGGGUGAAAUCCUGGAGCUCAACUCCAGAACUGCCUUCGAUACUGAAGAGCUUGAGUCCGGGAGAGGUGAGUGGAACUGCGAGUGUAGAGGUGAAAUUCGUAGAUAUUCGCAAGAACACCAGUGGCGAAGGCGGCUCACUGGCCCGGUACUGACGCUGAGGUGCGAAAGCGUGGGGAGCAAACAGG
RNAcentral lists this ribosomal RNA (253 nucleotides) under uncultured bacterium. RNAcentral's name for it is "partial 16S ribosomal RNA". It matches the Rfam family "Bacterial small subunit ribosomal RNA", at positions 524 to 776 of the family's 1533-position model. The record is from RNAcentral.